Hylaeus anthracinus is the source of this 1936-nucleotide long non-coding RNA. RefSeq lists it as uncharacterized. NCBI's taxonomy places the organism in Eukaryota, Metazoa, Arthropoda, Insecta, Hymenoptera, Colletidae. The transcript has 3 exons. The record is from RefSeq and is a predicted model, not a curated record.
AGUCCAGAGGGAGUCCUCUUGUAGCUGGUCGGGGAUUAAGGUCGCAUAGACAUAGUAAGCUCGUACGCGAUCUCCACGUCGCGACGAUUCCUUUAUUCUUGUCGAUCAAAAGUGGCCGAUCCGCAAGAUUCGUCACACUUUCACCAAAUAUAUUUAACAAAUAUAAAAUAAUAAUUCCGUACGCGAGGCGUUAAUAAAUAUAAAUCUGAAUAUGAUUCGUGAGCUUGGCAAGGAUAACAAAUUAAAUGCUACGAGACUACUGUGUUGAUCAAAAGUGGCCGAUACGCAAGAUUCGUCAGACUUUCACGAAAUAUAUUUAUUUUAUAAUCGCCAAUGUAGCGAAAAUUAAUGUAUUCGAAGAAAUACGUUACUUUUGCAUCCGUAUGUUCAAAAAUUAACUGUCGAAAUUACGAGGAAAAAUCAACUUUGAUUUUGAGUUAAUAUUCACGUGAAUAUAUGACAGAUAUUGCUUGGUUUGUUCGCGAGUUCCUGGAAUAAUUAAACUAUACUCCGCGACAAUUACAUUAGGUUGUCCCAAAAGUUUCUUCCAUGACUUGUACUCGGUCAUUUUGCGUAGCGAUGUUUAUAUAAAUAGGCCACUUCGUUUCUCAGAUCUUAAUGCUCCAACCAUAACGGAGCUAAAUGAAUCGCAAAAUGAAUACGCAAUUCAAUAAUAUAACAUUAGACAUAAAAUAUCGCGUAUGUACUACUUAUUAAUGAAAUGGAAGAAACUUUUGGGACAACCUAAUAUAUGUCGAACUUUCGAGAACUGGUCAUUCGGAAAAUCAAUUUCUUUUUUUUUUUUGCUAAAAAGAAAAGCAACAAAACAUAUCGUAUAUUCCAAAGUUCUGUAACAUCGCGUUACAAUAAAUCCAAAUUCUGUGAUAGGAUACGGCGUGCGACGACGCUAGUAUAGCACAGACAGAGAACAUACAAGUAGAUAAUGCAAUAUUAAAAUCUUACGCAAUGCAUAAAAAGUAUGUUGAAUCUGCAAUCGAUUGUGCAGUUGCCAAUGAUUCAGUGGCAGAUAAAGCAGUAAAGGUCGUUCGGUAAAAAAAAUGCUGGAUGAAUGCAAGCCCCACUGUCAGAUAAACGUGAACUUGGAUAUUAUUUGUUACAAAACUAAUGUUGUGAAAGAUAUUCCCAUUCGUUGGAUUCUAUCGACGGCUCGCUCUUAAACUUGUACGUAACGCUGCGAACGUUAUCGCUGACUGUACGAUCGUCUCUGAUCACGCGCUAUCAAAGUACGAACAAAGUGCACAAGUACGAAAGAACGAGCAUUAUCUUGGGAUUCCAUAGUAUUUCUAUUGAUACUGCAGCAGCGCUAUCGUCGAAAACUUUGGAACAAUUCUAGCGAGAGAAUGACGGGAAUCGUUGUCUUGGCUUCCCUUAGCUCGUUUCGCGCGCUAUUUCGACAAGUCAGCAAUGCCUAUCGGAAUGCACCUUCAUUUACUUCAUCGCUACCAUUCCGUGGACCGUGAAUCAGAUUACCGAACAAUUUCGGGAGAGUCGUUGAAGAAUAUUCGAGUUAUUCGACCGUUUAAAGAAAUCGAAAAUCGAGCCUGCCAUUUACGUGUCUGUAUAAUAAGUAGACUGCGAAUUUUAUGCGUUUUGUGACGUACAGUAUGUUGAAUAUAUUAGUAUAAGUAUAUUAUACAGGGUGAAUAAAUAUCUCUGUUACUUUUCGUUGUAAAAAAAAAAAAAACUUAGGACAAAGUUGCACCGUUUGAAGGGUCACGUGUAACGGUGCAAGGGAAAACAUUUUCAAGGUCUCUUUUUUACAAGAUUUGAAGGUUAAUGAUGUUUUUUUUAAUGGAACGAUAUAUCUUCGUUAACAUAAUGUUGUAGCUGACAAAAUAAUAAAACACAUCCAGGUAACACGAUAUGACCUGCAAAUGAUCUUGAACCCAGAAAAAUGGGAUCAAACAAAAUUCAA